AGCGGCGGAUUCCAGGCGCGCUGUUCCGGGGAAGGAGAAGGCCCCACGGCGGUGGCUGUUACAGCUUCGUUCGCCCACCCACGACCCCGCGGUCCCCUGCACUGGGUUCCCACCCUCUACUGGGCAGGGCAUGGCUGUGCGCCACAGGGUCUGGCCUACUGCUGCCUGCCGCCGCUUGGUAAUGAGGAUUGAGUGAUAAAACCUUGGUUCCAAAAAGAUCUAGUCCAGCGCGAUAGUUUGAUGAAUGCAAUAGCCUUCAGGAUGGAACAUGCCAUGUCCAACUAAGGGACUGAACAGGUAACUCCCACACUAAGCCCUGAAGAGAGAUGAGAAAUUCAGCACCCAGAUAUCUGAUACUUGUCCCACCUUUUCUUUUCUUUUUUUUUUUUUUUUUUUUGUCCCACCUUUUCAACACUAUCUUGGAUAUCUCCCCUGGAUGUCCCUUUGAGGCUUCAAACUUGAAACCAUGACUCCUUGUUUCCUGCUUCUGUGAAGCCAGCACUCCUAAGUACACUGAGUCCUCUCUCUGCUAAUAGUAGCACCACUUAUGAAACAUCGGGAAAACAGGCAUCUUAUUUCUUUGGCUUUUUCUCAUUGACCUAGUUCCCGAAUCCUAUAGAAUGAUUCUAUUGCCAGGACUUCCUCUUUUUACCUUUCCUGUUGCCCCUGCCCUAGCAGGGGGCCACCUCUGUUCACUUUUCACCUGGAUAAUCUCAGGAGCUUCGUGACUAUAUAUGCCACCUCUAGUUUCUCCUAUACACACUGACCAGGGAAGCUUCUCCUCUUCAGUUACUGUCCUGCUCUCUGCCCUAUUUUCCUGUCCCUCUUCCCAGCCCCCUCCAAAAAAAAAAAAAAAAAAGAUUCCCUAGCCAGCUGGCGAGAAACGGUAGGUUGGAUAUAUACCUUAACCUUCCACUAACAUAAAUUCUGGAUAUACAAAAUAUUUAAGUGAUUGUUUUUAAAAAGAGAAGAAAAAAGAAACUCCAUAAGUCCAUGGGAGAAUUUGUGUUCAUAAUAUCCAAGAGGUCUUUCUGAAUUAAGUCACAAACCCCAGAAGUCAUAAAUGAAAUGAUUGAAAAAUCUACCUGAGUGGCGCCUGGGGCUUGGUGAGUAGGGUACCAGCCCCAUAUAUCAAGGGUGGUGGGUUCAAACCUGGCCCUGGCCGAACUGCAACAAAAAAAAAUAGCUGGGGGUUGUGACGGGCACCUGUAGUCCCAGCUACUUGGGAGGCUGAGGCAAGAGAAUUGCCUAAGCCCAGGAACUGGAGGUUGCUGUGAGCUGUGUGACGCCAUGGCACUCUACCGAGGGCGAUAAAGUGAGACUCUGUCUCUGCAAAAAAGGAAGAAAAAUCUACCUACAUAAAAAUCAAAACCUGAAAUGUGACAAACACGUACAAGCAAAGUCAAAAGACAAAUGCCAAACUAUGAGAAAAUAUUUGCAAGUAUUAAUAGUCAAAGGACUAGUUUUCCUAAUAAAAAGCAACUAGUAAUUAAUAAGAAAAAGUCUGGGGCGGUGCCUGUGGCUCAAUCCGUAAGGCGCCGGCCCUAUAUACUGAGGGUGGUGGGUUCAAACCCGGCCCCGGCCAAACUGCAACCAAAAAAAUAGCCAGGCGUUGUGGCGGGCGCCUGUAGUCCCAGCUACU
Long non-coding RNA from Nycticebus coucang (slow loris), 1642 nucleotides. RefSeq lists it as uncharacterized. NCBI's taxonomy places the organism in Eukaryota, Metazoa, Chordata, Mammalia, Primates, Lorisidae. The record is from RefSeq and is a predicted model, not a curated record. The transcript is spliced from 3 exons.